Molecule: ribosomal RNA, 482 nt
Filed under: uncultured bacterium
Lineage: Bacteria
Description: partial 16S ribosomal RNA
Rfam family: Bacterial small subunit ribosomal RNA
Source: RNAcentral
AUUGAACGCUGGCGGCAUGCUUUACACAUGCAAGUCGAACGGUAACAGCACUUCGGUGGCUGACGAGUGGCGAACGGGUGAGUAAUACAUCGGAACGUGCCUAGUAGUGGGGGAUAACUACUCGAAAGAGUAGCUACUACCGCAUGAGAUCUAAGGAUGCAAGCAGGGGACCUUCGGGCCUUGCGCUACUAGAGCGGCUGAUGGCAGCUUAGGUAGUUGGUGGGAUAAAAGCUUACCAAGCCGACGAUCUGUAGCUGGUCUGAGAGGACGACCAGCCACACUGGGACUGAGACACGGCCCAGACUCCUACGGGAGGCAGCAGUGGGGAAUGUUGGACAAGGGGGGCAAGCCUGAUCCAGCAAUGCCGCGUGCAGGAUGAAGGCCUUAGGGUGGGAAACUGAUUUUGUACGGAACGAAAAGCCCUCUUCUAAUACAGGAGGGUCAUGACGGUACCGUAAGAAGAAGCACCGGCUAACUACGUG